GCUAUGGCUCAGUGGUAGCGCACUCGCCUGGCAUGUGUGAGGCACUGGGUUUGAGUCUCAGCACUGCA
RNAcentral lists this transfer RNA (68 nucleotides) under Marmota monax (woodchuck). RNAcentral's name for it is "tRNA.Ala". Lineage: Eukaryota; Metazoa; Chordata; Mammalia; Rodentia; Sciuridae. The record is from RNAcentral.